CAGAAAUGAAUAAAUCUUUACUCUGUAAACCAAUUCUGUAGAAGAAAGAUUUCAUGGUGUCAUUGGGCUGAGCAGUAAUAGCUACUUCUUUUCUAUGUCUUGAAGGCUCAACAGCUGGUAGAUUUGCUUUGACUUUCAGCAAUUUGCCUCUUUCAAGUAAAUAUCACUUUCCCAGGGUACCAAAUGAGCAUUGAGCAAACACAGACACAAAGCAAAAGCCAAAACUCACAAACAAACAGUAUUUGCAUGUUUCAGAAAUGCUGUAUGUUUUAAAAGUAUGUGAUAACAUAAAUAUUUUGCAGUGAUUUCAUAGUAUUGAAAGCUUCUAAAAGGAACUGGGGAAGUUUUGAAGUACUGCCUCUGGAUACAACUUUAUUCUUGAAGCAACUUACUGCUUUUCAGCAAGAAAUUCAUCUGUUCAACUGUUCUGCUGUUUGUUCCCAGACCGGUAAGUAGCAGCUGGACCUAAUGUGGGCCUUUCUCAUACUGAAAAAUACACCUGCUUUCACGCAGUCAGAGAGGCAACAUUAAUACUCUACUGCAGCCAGGAACAUACGUAUGAGCUACCAAUUAGGAAACCUUUCAAAGUGUGGCUUUGCAGCCCAUCUGUGAUCUGCAGACCUCAGCUUGGGAACCAUUAUUCUCCACUAACGGCACCUGGGGAACAGGAGGGAAGGAAAACCAUGGGGCUUGGGAGAACAAAGUCUAUUAAAUACUAUGGCAACAGUUGUAAGGAAUAGCAUAGCUGUCCUGCAAAAACGAAGCCUGAAAAUACCAUCAGCCUCUGCUGCAAACACCAGCGUCUGUCAUACACCAGAACAAAAGCAAGUGCUUCAUUUGUACUGUGAGAGGGAUUUGCAGCCUCCCAUGCUGCAGCUGUCCCUGCUUGAGAAUUGUGAGAAGAAAAGAGAAACAGUGAUGGCUGCAGAGACAAGAAGCACCAGACGGGACAAACCAGUCUUGCAUGCACAGCCCCAAGAGAAGCAAUUGGAGAGAGCCUUAUGGCCAAACAGAAACAGAAGUUCUCCUGAUGUCCUCUGAAGAGCAUCUCUCCAGGGGAUCAUUGUUCAGCCUGAGCUCCUUCCCAGGAGUGAGUGAUCACAGCUGACAAUUUGGGACCUUCCUGAGGAGUAAGGCUGAGGUAUUUCAGAUGCACUUUGGAUGGACCUGAAGAGGAGGUUUAUUCCUCUUUAAAAACCAAUGUUUUUGAAUAUAUUUGGAAACUUUUUCUUAAGCAUUCAACUAACUGACUUAAAAUGGAAGAGCCAGUAGCUAUUUGACACUUGGGCCGCUCUCUUCUCACUGAUGACAGGUGACAGGAUGAGGGGAAAUGGCCUCACAUUGCACCAGUAUCAGUUUAGGCUGGAUAUCAGGAAACACUUCUUUAUGUAAAGGGUGGUUAAGCAUUGGAAUGGGCUCCCCAUGGAGGUGGUUAAGUCACCAUCUCUGAAUGUGUUUAAAACCUGGAUGUGGUGCUCAGGGACAUGAUUGACUGGAGGGUUGUUAAGAGCUAGGGUACAAUGGUUGGGUUAUGGUUUGACUUGAUGAUCUUUAAGGUCUGUUCCAACCUGAGCAAUUAUAUGAUUCUAUGAUCCUCAGGUAUGUGUUAGUGCUUUGAGGCAGGCAGUUUGUAUUGCUUUUUGAAGGGUGGGCACACGGCAACCUUUGAGAUUGCUUUUGUUGGCCAACACAGCACAUCAGAAAUGACUGCAUAUAUUGUUCCCGCAGUGCAUCCGGGGUAUCUCAUUUCUAUCCAUACUGUGAGCCAUGUGGACUGUCAGCAAGAAUGAUGUUUGUCCCAAAAACUUACACACCUGCUAGAAAGGACCUUCUGCCUGUCCUGUCCACAAGUGGUCUGCAACAUGCUCAUCUGUGACACUCAUGUAGCUGGAACGAAUGGCUCAGAUGCUGAAUGUUGCCAGUGUCCACACUGACCUCCUUUUAUAGAUGCAGAUGAGCAAAAUGAGGCUUGCAAACCAAAGGAAGAUGGACGACAUGGGAAGCAGGACAAUCAAAAAUAUCUCACACAGCGAAGUGUUGAAUAUACAAUUGCCACAGAGCCAAGUGACUAGCUGAUUUCUCUAACUUUUCAGCUGGUAUCAGCCAUACUUGCAUAUAGUUGCUUGAAGUGCCUUCAAUUAAGAUCAAGUCAUUUGCCAGACUUGGGAUGAUGAACACUGAGAUGCUUAUUGCAGAAUGCAAAAUGAAGCCAGAUGGCUUCUGGUUCAGGAAAUACAUUGCCUUCUGGUUCCCAAGUCUGGAUUGCGACCUAUGCACUCUCGGCAAGGUAGCCACAUUAGACAAUUAAGACACAACAGUUUGGCAUCAGCACCUCAGCUAUGACUAGCAUCAUAGCAAAGGUCUGCAAGCUUGUAUGCCAUCUGGCUUGCUCUUUUCAAAGUUUUUGGCUUUGCUAAAGUAUUGGCAGCCAAGCCAAGCAGGAAAUGGUCACUGAAACCAGAGCUUAAAUUUCUUGCUGGGACAACACCAAGUCAAGACAAGUGGAGAGAAAAGCAGUAGAGGUAAAAACAUAGUGACUAUACAGAUUUAAAGAAAAUGUGGGCUCUUGGCACACCAGGGAUCUCUAAAUGCUAACAUGGGCUACAGUGGUCCUCAGAACCAUGUUACGGGUUUCUGUUUUGGCUGUUUACUUUGUUUGCCUGAGAUGAAAUUCCCUUAUAAGGUUUACUUUAAAGUGAAGGUGCCUUCAAAACAGAAGAUGUACUGAUUAGCUCUCAAUCUCAGUGACAAAGCUAAAGUUUACAACUGGACAAAGAAAAUAAAUAAAAGUAGCU
Molecule: long non-coding RNA, 2795 nt
Organism: Coturnix japonica (Japanese quail)
Lineage: Eukaryota; Metazoa; Chordata; Aves; Galliformes; Phasianidae
Source: Ensembl